GUCGAACGAACCCUUCGGGUGAGUGGCGCACGGGUGCGUAACGCGUGGGAACCUGCCCUUAGGUUUGGAAUAACGUUUCAAAGGAACGCUAAUACCUUCGGACCAAAAUUUAUCGCCUUUGGAUGGGCCCGCGUAGGAUUAGCUAGUUGGUGAGGUAAAGGCUCACCAGGCGACAUCCUUAGCUGGUCUUAGAGGAUGAUCAGCCACACUGGGACUGAGACCGGCCCAGACUCCUACGGGAGGCACAGUGGGGAAUAUUGGACAAUGGGCGAAAGCCUGAUCCAUGCCCGUGAGUGAUGAAGGCCUUAGGGUUGUAAAGCUCUUUUACCAGGGAUGAUAAUGACAGUACCUGGAGAAGCUCCGGCUAACUCCGUGCCAGCAGCCGCGGAAUACGGAGGGAG
Molecule: ribosomal RNA, 401 nt
Filed under: uncultured Erythrobacter sp.
Lineage: Bacteria; Pseudomonadati; Pseudomonadota; Alphaproteobacteria; Sphingomonadales; Erythrobacteraceae
Description: bacterial SSU rRNA
Rfam family: Bacterial small subunit ribosomal RNA
Source: RNAcentral